UGGGGAAUAUUGCGCAAUGGGGGAAACCCUGACGCAGCCAUGCCGCGUGAGUGAAGAAGGUCUUCGGAUCGUAAAGCUCUUUCAACGGUGAAGAUGAUGACGGUAGCCGUAGAAGAAGCCCCGGCUAACUUCGUGCCAGCAGCCGCGGUAAUACGAAGGGGGCAAGCGUUGUUCGGAAUUACUGGGCGUAAAGGGCGUGUAGGCGGUCUAAUCAGUCAGUGGUGAAAGCCCUGGGCUCAACCCAGGAAUUGCCUUUGAUACUGUUAGACUUGAGUCCGGAAGAGGCGAGUGGAAUACCGAGUGUAGAGGUGAAAUUCGUAGAUAUUCGGUGGAACACCAGUGGCGAAGGCGACUCGCUGGUCCGGUACUGACGCUGAGGUGCGAAAGCGUGGGGAGCAAACAGGAUUAGAUA
This 412-nucleotide ribosomal RNA is filed under the name uncultured bacterium. Its description in RNAcentral is "bacterial SSU rRNA". It matches the Rfam family "Bacterial small subunit ribosomal RNA", at positions 355 to 784 of the family's 1533-position model. The record is from RNAcentral.